Molecule: signal recognition particle RNA, 303 nt
Filed under: Sciurus vulgaris (Eurasian red squirrel)
Lineage: Eukaryota; Metazoa; Chordata; Mammalia; Rodentia; Sciuridae
Description: Metazoan signal recognition particle RNA (ENSSVLG00005014466.1)
Rfam family: Metazoan signal recognition particle RNA
About the family: The signal recognition particle (SRP) is a universally conserved ribonucleoprotein.
Source: RNAcentral
GCCAGGCCCGGUGGUGCACGCCUGUAGUCCCAGCUACUCGAGAGGCUGAGGUGGGAGGAUCGCUUGAGUCCAGGAGUUCUGGACUGUAGUGCGCUAUGCCCAUCGGGUGUCCGCACUAAGUUCGGCAUCAAUAUGGUGACCUCCCGGGAGCGGGGAACCACCAGGUUGCCUAAGGAGGGGUGAACCGGCCCAGUCGGAAACGGAGCAGGUCAAAACUCCUGUGCUGAUCAGAUUCAAUGCAAUUCCAAUUAAAAUUCCAAUGACUUACCUCACAGAAAUAGAGCAAGCAAUCAUGAAAUUCAU